AACGAACGCUGGCGGCAUGCCUAACACAUGCAAGUCGAACGAACCCUUCGGGGUUAGUGGCGCACGGGUGCGUAACGCGUGGGAACCUACCAUCAGGUUCGGAAUAACAGUUAGAAAUGACUGCUAAUACCGGAUAAUGUCUUCGGACCAAAGAUUUAUCGCCUUUUGAUGGGCCCGCGUAAGAUUAGGUAGUUGGUGGGUAAAGGACCUACCAAGCCGACGAUCUUUAGUCUGGUCUGAGAGGAUGAUCAGCCACACUGGGACUGAGACACGGCCCAGACUCCUACGGGAGGCAGCAGUGGGGAAGUAUUGGACAAUAGGGCGGAAAGACCUGAUCCAGCAAUGCCGCGUGAGUGAUGAAGG
Molecule: ribosomal RNA, 363 nt
Filed under: uncultured bacterium
Lineage: Bacteria
Description: bacterial SSU rRNA
Rfam family: Bacterial small subunit ribosomal RNA
Source: RNAcentral